This 1158-nucleotide long non-coding RNA is filed under the name Prunus dulcis (almond). RNAcentral's name for it is "sRNA ncRNA". Lineage: Eukaryota; Viridiplantae; Streptophyta; Magnoliopsida; Rosales; Rosaceae. The record is from RNAcentral.
AAACAAAUUAUUAAAAAAUUUCAUUCAUUUUAAAAAUAAAUAAAUAAAAAUCUCAAAUUGAAAAACAAAAAACAAAAAACAAAAACAAACGAGCCAAACCCAACCCACCUCCCCGUACUCAUCCCCGACACGACGCACCCAGAUCCACCCCUCUCUCCUCUCUAUCGCUCCACCAGAUCUGACAAGCUAAUGGAGGCGAGGCCGACCAGGUCGUAAUCCAACCAACCCAUCGAUAGAGCUCGGGGAGAAACUCGACCCACAUCUGUCAUGGCUCUGGCUCUGACGAGAAAGAGGAGGACGACGUCACCAUGGGUGAGUGGAAGAUACGCUUGUCAGUUCCUCCCACCCUGAUCGAAAGAAUUGGACACCCAAGAGGAGGCUCAAGAAGAAACUGGAUGGAAGCUUGUUAAUGGAGAUGUUUAUAGGGCUCCAAUAAAUUUUUUCUUACUUCGCGUUUACGUUGGGACGGGGUUUCAGAUCUUUGGAAUGACACUCGUAACCAUGAUAUUUGCAUUGCUGGGCUUUUUGUCUCCUUUCAACCGAGGUCUCAUGACUGCCAUGGUUCUCUUGUGGGUUUUCAUGGGCUUAUUUGCUGGUUAUUCCUCUGCACGGUUGUACAAAAUGUUCAGCGGUAUAGAGCACCUUAAAGACUGCCUUUAUGUUUCCAGGAAUUCUAUGUGGUGGGUAUUGGGGUUGGGGGAAGAUGAGAUGGGGAUGGCGUUUUCUGGGUUUGGUUUUAUUGUUCUUGUUUUUACUUUUUUGAAUUUUUAUUUUAUUUGAUUCUUUAAGAUAUAUUUGUCUUGUUCUUGUUUUUUAUGUUUUAAAUUUUUGGAGCGUGGGGAGUUGGGUGGAAUUGGGUUUGGCAGGUUUUUUUUUGUUUUGUUUUGUUGUUUUCAAUUUGAGUUUUUAUAUAUAUUUAUUUCUCUUUAAUAUUUAUUUUUAAAAUGAAUGAAUUUUUUAAUAAUUUAUUUGACCAAAUUACCCCUCUACAACUAACAGAAGUUAAAAUUUUUUGACAGAAAUUGAGGAUUGUCCUUGAAUUGCUUCAAAUUGAAACUACAAAGACAAAAUUGAUCAAAUUGAAACUAUAUGGACCAAAGUGAUAAAAGUAGUAAACUACAGGACCAAAAGUGACUUUUUGCCUUUAAAAAAAUCUAC